RNAcentral lists this ribosomal RNA (155 nucleotides) under leaf litter ascomycete strain its015. RNAcentral describes it as "5.8S ribosomal RNA". It matches the Rfam family "5.8S ribosomal RNA". From Rfam's summary of the family: 5.8S ribosomal RNA (5.8S rRNA) is a component of the large subunit of the eukaryotic ribosome. It is transcribed by RNA polymerase I as part of the 45S precursor that also contains 18S and 28S rRNA. The record is from RNAcentral. Lineage: Eukaryota; Fungi; Ascomycota.
AACUUUUAACAACGGAUCUCUUGGUUCUGGCAUCGAUGAANNACGCAGCGAAAUGCGAUAAGUAAUGUGAAUUGCAGAAUUCAGUGAAUCAUCGAAUCUUUGAACGCACAUUGCGCCCCCUGGUAUUCCGGGGGGCAUGCCUGUUCGAGCGUCAU